CACGUAGGGCGCAAGCGUUGUCCGGAAUUAUUGGGCGUAAAGAGCUCGUAGGCGGUCCGUCACGUCCGCUGUGAAAACCCAGGGCUCAACCCUGGGCUUGCAGUGGAUACGGGCAGACUAGAGGUAGGUAGGGGAGAAUGGAAUUCCCGGUGUAGCGGUGAAAUGCGCAGAUAUCGGGAGGAACACCGGUGGCGAAGGCGGUUCUCUGGGCCGGUACUGACGCUGAGGAGCGAAAGCGUGGGGAGCAAACAGG
RNAcentral lists this ribosomal RNA (253 nucleotides) under uncultured bacterium. RNAcentral describes it as "partial 16S ribosomal RNA". It matches the Rfam family "Bacterial small subunit ribosomal RNA", at positions 524 to 776 of the family's 1533-position model. The record is from RNAcentral.